Pelobates cultripes (western spadefoot toad) is the source of this 298-nucleotide non-coding RNA. The record is from the annotation of a GenBank genome assembly. Lineage: Eukaryota; Metazoa; Chordata; Amphibia; Anura; Pelobatidae.
GUAUUUGUAGUGAGUGCAGUGUGUAUAAUAAAUGUAGUGUAUUUGUAGUGAGUGCAGUGUGUAUAAUAAAUGUAGUGUGUUUGUAGUGAGUGCAGUGUGUGUAUAGUGAAUGCAGUGUGUAUAGUAAAUGCAGAGGGUGUAUAGUGAAUGUAGUGUGUUUGUAGUGAGUGUAUAGUGAAUGUAGUGUGUUUGUAGUGAGUGAAGAGUGUGUAUAAUGAAUGCAGUGUGUGCGUGUGCUGGAUGACGUGUGUGUGCGCUGGAUGACGUGUGUGAGUGCUGGAUGACGUGUGUGUGAGUG